Molecule: ribosomal RNA, 425 nt
Filed under: uncultured Acaulosporaceae
Lineage: Eukaryota; Fungi; Glomeromycota; Glomeromycetes; Diversisporales; Acaulosporaceae
Description: SSU rRNA
Rfam family: Eukaryotic small subunit ribosomal RNA
Source: RNAcentral
GGGAGGUAGUGACAAUAAAUAACAAUACAGGGCCCUUUCGGGUCUUGUAAUUGGAAUGAGUACAAUUUAAAUCUCUUAACGAGGAACAAUUGGAGGGCAAGUCUGGUGCCAGCAGCCGCGGUAAUUCCAGCUCCAAUAGCGUAUAUUAAAGUUGUUGCAGUUAAAAAGCUCGUAGUUGAAUUUCGGGAUCUAUCCGUCGGUCGGGCCUCACGGUCCGCACUGGUGUGAUGGAUUCCUACCUUCUGAAUAACCGGUAUGCCAUUAAUUUGAUGUGCCGGGGAAGCAGAACCAUUACCUUGAAAAAAUUAGAGUGCUCAAAGCAGGCCUAUGCCUGAAUACAUUAGCAUGGAAUAAUAAAAUAGGACGGCAUGGUUCUAUUUUGUUGGUUUCUAGGAUCACCGUAAUGAUUAAUAGGGAUAGUUGGG